RNAcentral lists this small RNA (493 nucleotides) under Pongo abelii (Sumatran orangutan). Its description in RNAcentral is "processed transcript". Lineage: Eukaryota; Metazoa; Chordata; Mammalia; Primates; Hominidae. The record is from RNAcentral.
AAGAUGAUUACAGGUCAAGGCAGAGAUCUCUAUUCUGACCAGCUUGCUUUCUUACUUAAAAAUAACCUGAUUUUUAUAAACAAACUUCCUGUCUCUCUGCAAAGAUCACUGUCUACAUACUAACACUUCCUCUCCCCUUGGAGAAAAUAUUUCUCUUAGCUUCGCUUUUAGUGCAAGUGGUAGUAAUCAGUGUAAAGAUUCACCUUUGGAGAUCACCACUCAUUCUUUGGCCUGCAAAGAUUGAUGACCAGUAACAAAUAGAAAUGUUUCUCUCCUGAGGCAAAGCCCAACACACCUGUCUUUUGUCCACUUCUCCAGCAAAUUAGAUUUGUCUCUGGGAAUGUGUUUGUAACAUACCAACCUACUGCAGACCAGCAGAGGGAGCUCCCAUGUUGAAUUUGUUUGUUAGCUAUUUUUUCUCCCUUUCACAAAAACUAUUUCUUGACGACCUUUGAGAGAUUUCAAUAAAAAUUUUAAUCAGAGCAAAAAUGAA